CUCAAGGGAAUUGACGGGACCCGCACAAGCGGUGGAGGAUGUGGUUUAAUUCGACGCAACGCGAAGAACCUUACCUAGGCUUGACAUGCUGGCGAAAACCGUGGAAACACGGUCCUCCCGCAAGGGACGCUAGUACAGGUGGUGCAUGGCUGUCGUCAGCUCGUGUCGUGAGAUGUUGGGUUAAGUCCCGCAACGAGCGCAACCCCCGCCGUUAGUUGCCAGCGGUUCGGCCGGGCACUCUAACGGGACUGCCCGCGAAAGCGGGAGGAAGGAGGGGACGACGUCUGGUCAGCAUGGCCCUUACGGCCUGGGCGACACACGUGCUACAAUGCCCACUACAAAGCGAUGCCACCCGGCAACGGGGAGCUAAUCGCAAAAAGGUGGGCCCAGUUCGGAUUGGGGUCUGCAACCCGACCCCAUGAAGCCGGAAUCGCUAGUAAUCGCGGAUCAGCCAUGCCGCGGUGAAUACGUUCCCGGGCCUU
Molecule: ribosomal RNA, 482 nt
Filed under: uncultured Thermus sp.
Lineage: Bacteria; Thermotogati; Deinococcota; Deinococci; Thermales; Thermaceae
Description: bacterial SSU rRNA
Rfam family: Bacterial small subunit ribosomal RNA
Source: RNAcentral